RNAcentral lists this transfer RNA (72 nucleotides) under Candidatus Bathyarchaeota archaeon. RNAcentral's name for it is "tRNA-Gly". It matches the Rfam family "tRNA". Rfam says of the family: Transfer RNA (tRNA) molecules are approximately 80 nucleotides in length. Their secondary structure includes four short double-helical elements and three loops (D, anti-codon, and T loops). Further hydrogen bonds mediate the characteristic L-shaped molecular structure. tRNAs have two regions of fundamental functional importance: the anti-codon, which is responsible for specific mRNA codon recognition, and the 3' end, to which the tRNAs corresponding amino acid is attached (by aminoacyl-tRNA synthetases). tRNAs cope with the degeneracy of the genetic code in two manners: having more than one tRNA (with a specific anti-codon) for a particular amino acid; and 'wobble' base-pairing, i.e. permitting non-standard base-pairing at the 3rd anti-codon position. The record is from RNAcentral. Lineage: Archaea; Thermoproteati; Candidatus Bathyarchaeota.
GCGCCUAUUGUCUAGUGGUUAGGAUACCAGCUUCCCAAGCUGGUCGCCCGGGUUCAAUUCCCGGUAGGCGCA